AAAUGAAUAGACGGGGGCCCGCACAAGCGGUGGAGCAUGUGGUUUAAUUCGAAGCAACGCGAAGAACCUUACCAGGGCUUGACAUAUCCCUGAGAGUCGUAGAAAUACGGCUGGCCUUCGGGACAGGGAAACAGGUGGUGCAUGGUCGUCGUCAGCUCGUGUCGUGAGAUGUUGGGUUAAGUCCCGCAACGAGCGCAACCCUUACCGGUAGUUGCCAGCACAUUAGGUGGGCACUCUACUGGGACUGCCGGUGACAAACCGGAGGAAGGUGGGGAUGACGUCAGAUCAUCAUGCCCCUUAUGUUCUGGGCUACACACGUGCUACAAUGGCCGGUACAGAGGGCAGCGAAGGAGCGAUCCGGAGCGAAUCCCAGAAAGCCGGUCUCAGUUCAGAUUGCAGGCUGCAACUCGCCUGCAUGAAGGCGGAAUCGCUAGUAAUCGCAGGUCAGCAUACUGCGGUGAAUACGUUCCCGGGCCUUGUACACACCGCCCGU
RNAcentral lists this ribosomal RNA (493 nucleotides) under uncultured bacterium. Its description in RNAcentral is "bacterial SSU rRNA". It matches the Rfam family "Bacterial small subunit ribosomal RNA", at positions 903 to 1397 of the family's 1533-position model. The record is from RNAcentral.